GUAUCCCUAAUAAGCUUCCCGCUGUACGUAUUCAAUGUGGCCGCAAUGCUCCUUACAAAACCUGCAUCCCUGGACAUAGACCCGGAAAGCCUAUUGUGUGCCCCGAUCCUUCCAGGACUAAUUGCCAUCAUGGUGCACCUUGAAUGGAGGAAAACUAUGGAUUUAUUAGCAAACAAUGUAAUGAAAAUAGCUAAUAAGUUGCCAACUGCUGUGUCGUUGGUUUAGAAACAUGAAAUUUAAGUUGCCCAUCAUUUGUAUCAUGAAUUCUACUUUGUCUACAACGUAAUGCAUUUUUAUAGGUAUGUUAUAAAUAAAAAGCUAGUGACUACUUCGACUUUGUUAUAAAGUGAUAAGAGUAAGAUGAGAUUUGAAUAUAAAUCUUGAUUUACAGUCAUAACACUUAAAUUAGCUAGUUUAAACUAGUUGAUAGACUAUCCUCUAGAUCCAAUACAUUUAGGUAAGAUUGUUAUCAAUAUAAGGCUCACUAAAGCCUGCAGAUUUUAUGAGGAAGAUGAAAUUAAGUAAGCGGAGAUAACAUGUAUACACCUUCCUGUACAAUACUAUUGAGAAAUUCAUUUUUAAAAACAUCUUAAACUUUUUAGAUUUUAGUUCGAGAUAUUAUUCUUUAAUAAAAAUUAGAUAAUAAAUUUAGAUGAGUGAUUUAAACUCAUUGAUUCUUAAAAAGUGUCAACUAGACUUGAUUCAAUCAAUGAACAACUCUACUUGCAAUGUUCCAAAACUACAGCUUCAAUGAGUUCAUUAAAAACUGCCACAUCUACACAUCCUUGAGAAAGCAUUAUUGCACCAGAUUUUUUUUUUUAUAAUUGAGAGAGGGGAGAAUUGAACCAUACUCUUUAGAUAAGGGAUCAUACAUCAACCAAUGAAUCAAAUGUUCGGAUGCUAUUGUACCAGAUUAAUUACUUAAUUAAUCAUAAAUUAAGCAACCAAACACAGCUUAAUUACCACGCCUUGCCCUUUAACUUGAUAUCAAACAAACAUCUUCUUCCCAAAUUUGAAAGGAUAUACUAAUUACAUAUAGAUAUAGCAAAGACAUCCAUUUAAUUUGUGUGAAGGAGAGGGACUAAGGGCAUCACUUUCUUUCCAAAGAGAGAUCACUCUUCGUCUGACUCCACAACCUCAUCAUCUUCUUUCCUUUUCACUGGUUUCGUCUCAAUUAGAUGACUUUGAAACAGUCAAGAAGAAAAAAAAAGUGUUAGUGACUGUGACCUUUGACUACAUCUUGAACUUGGGGUCCAUAUGUUUCUAUAUAUCUUCCAUUGAGAAAAAUUUUAUAGUACAUAAUAACCAAAGUUUAAUUUGGAAAUUCUGGUGCAUGUUGUUUGAAGGAUCUUUUCAUACUUCUAGUUACAAUUUGAUUAAUAAAUUUGUUGAUAAAUAUAUAUAUAUAUAUAUAUAUAUAUAUACAUAUAUGUGCGUGUAUUUAUAUAUAUAUCUCAAAAAAAAUAUUUUGAAUUUUCUUGUUCUAUUAAGUCUCUUUGAAAAGCUUUAUAGUUUUUCCAAGCGAGAGACUACAUAAGGAAAGAGACAAAAAAGAAUAAUUCGUGGAAAAUUGGUCCCAAAAAUUAAUGCACAGUGCCCUGGAAGUUUCAUGGGUUCUUCCCCUUCGUCAAUGCAGCAAUCUUUGAAAAGUAAGUAAGAUUAGACUUGAAUAGGCCUAUAAAUAACAGUAGAGAGAGAGAGAGAGGGGAUGCUUAACUCAACCGACCUGGUGAUUACUCCAAAAUGAAAGCAAUAUUUCUCAUAGUAUGCAUUCUCUUUGCUUCCUCUUUCUUUAUUCCCACUUCCACCAUGGCUCGACAACUAGUCGAGAAAGGUAAGGCAUAUUUUAGUUUUAGUAUUUCCAAUCAUUUUAAAUAACUUACAGACAUUUGAUUGCUUUACAUGAAGAGUUUCUUAACUUAAAUAGAGAUUGAUAAUAUAUGUAUAUAUAUAUAUAUAUAUAUAUAUAUAUACUUGCAAUUCAUUUUACGUAAAAAUUUUAUAAUUUUAGUUUUUCAUCCAUGUAAAAAUUCAUCAAAUUCAAAACAAAAAAUUAAAGACAAUUUCAUUUUUACUCCAUCUGUUAAUUUUAUUUAAUUUUUAAUAGGAAAAAGAUUUUUUUUCCUUUUUUUAGCUGAGUUAAUAUCUUUGUUGCCUUAGCUAAGUACUUUGGUUUUAUGUCUGUUAAUUCCGCAGGUAUCCCUAAUAAGCUUCCAGCUGUACGUAAUCAAUGCGGCCGCAAUCCUAUUUUCAAAAACUGCAGCCCUAUAAAUAGACCCGGAAAGCCUAUUGUGUGCCCUGAUCCUGCCCUGACUGUUUGCCAUCCUCCUGGACCUUGAAUGGAGGAAAACUAUGGAUUUAUUAGCAAACAAUGUAAAGAAAAUAGCUAAUAAGUUGCCAGCUACUGUAUCGUUGGUAUAGGAAUAGGAAAUUUAAGUUGCCCAUCAUUUGUAUCAUGAAUUCUACUUUGUC
This 2472-nucleotide long non-coding RNA is filed under the name Theobroma cacao (cacao). RNAcentral describes it as "long non-coding RNA (TCAC_LNC004236)". Lineage: Eukaryota; Viridiplantae; Streptophyta; Magnoliopsida; Malvales; Malvaceae. The record is from RNAcentral.